Theobroma cacao (cacao) is the source of this 152-nucleotide non-coding RNA. The record is from RefSeq and is a predicted model, not a curated record. Lineage: Eukaryota; Viridiplantae; Streptophyta; Magnoliopsida; Malvales; Malvaceae.
AGGGAAAAUUGGUGGAUUUCAAGUAAUCAAGCAAUCAAAGGUGGUGAGCUAUUUGAUAAGGAUAAAGAGAUUACACCAAAGAUCGGGACUAGGAGUAUUUCUACUCCUGAUACUGCUCGGGAUAGCCGGUAGAUAGCCUAUUGCAUCAAGGA